UCUAGGAUAUAUUUUAUACUUGAUGGGCAAUCUUUAUAACCAAUCAUGUCAUUUGUGUCCAUGAUUUGUCCUAAAAAUUAACAAAGAUGAUUUUGUAUAUUCUCAAGAUGUUGAGAAUUUGAGACAUACAACAUUAAUGGUUAAUUUCUAAAUACUUUCGAUCGAAGGAUCAUCACGGAGGACAGUGAUCAAUCCAUUCAAGAUUGGUACAUGGAUCACCUCACUUUAUGGUAGA
RNAcentral lists this long non-coding RNA (235 nucleotides) under Elaeis guineensis (African oil palm). Its description in RNAcentral is "long non-coding RNA (EGUI_LNC054281)". The record is from RNAcentral. Lineage: Eukaryota; Viridiplantae; Streptophyta; Magnoliopsida; Arecales; Arecaceae.